Molecule: ribosomal RNA, 253 nt
Filed under: uncultured bacterium
Lineage: Bacteria
Description: partial 16S ribosomal RNA
Rfam family: Bacterial small subunit ribosomal RNA
Source: RNAcentral
UACGGAGGGUGCGAGCGUUGUCCGGAAUCACUGGGCGUAAAGGGCGCGUAGGCGGCCUGAUAAGUAGGGGGUGAAAUCUUGCGGCUUAACCGCAAGGCUGCCUUCUAAACUGUCAGGCUAGAGCACAGUAGAGGCAGGUGGAAUUCCCGGUGUAGCGGUGGAAUGCGUAGAGAUCGGGAAGAACAUCAGCGGCGAAGGCGGCCUGCUGGGCUGUUGCUGACGCUGAGGCGCGACAGCGUGGGGAGCAAACAGG